Molecule: microRNA precursor, 75 nt
Filed under: Myotis lucifugus (little brown bat)
Lineage: Eukaryota; Metazoa; Chordata; Mammalia; Chiroptera; Vespertilionidae
Description: mir-9229 microRNA precursor family
Rfam family: mir-9229 microRNA precursor family
Source: Rfam by way of RNAcentral
GGGACACCCUUAGCGGCAAGACUUGCUUCAGUGGGGCUUUGGUGCUCACUGAGUCUGCCCCCUGAGUGUGUCCCU